RNAcentral lists this ribosomal RNA (521 nucleotides) under Dichomera saubinetii. Its description in RNAcentral is "eukaryotic LSU rRNA". The stretch from base 195 to 348 matches the Rfam family "5.8S ribosomal RNA". Lineage: Eukaryota; Fungi; Ascomycota; Dothideomycetes; Dothideales. The record is from RNAcentral.
GGAAGGAUCAUUACCGAGUUGAUUCGGGCUCCGGCCCGAUCCUCCCACCCUUUGUGUACCUACCUCUGUUGCUUUGGCGGGCCGCGGUCCUCCGCGGCCGGCCCCCCCUCCCCGGGGGGUGGCCAGCGCCCGCCAGAGGACCAUCAAACUCCAGUCAGUAAACGAUGCAGUCUGAAAAACAUUUAAUAAACUAAAACUUUCAACAACGGAUCUCUUGGUUCUGGCAUCGAUGAAGAACGCAGCGAAAUGCGAUAAGUAAUGUGAAUUGCAGAAUUCAGUGAAUCAUCGAAUCUUUGAACGCACAUUGCGCCCUUUGGUAUUCCGAAGGGCAUGCCUGUUCGAGCGUCAUUACAACCCUCAAGCUCUGCUUGGUAUUGGGCACCGUCCUUUGCGGGCGCGCCUCAAAGACCUCGGCGGUGGCGUCUUGCCUCAAGCGUAGUAGAACAUACAUCUCGCUUCGGAGCGCAGGGCGUCGCCCGCCGGACGAACCUUCUGAACUUUUCUCAAGGUUGACCUCGGAU